GGGAGCAUAGCUCAGCUGGGAGAGCACCUGCCUUACAAGCAGGGGGUCACAGGUUCGAUCCCUGUUGUUCCCACCA
RNAcentral lists this transfer RNA (76 nucleotides) under Clostridiales bacterium GWB2_37_7. RNAcentral's name for it is "tRNA-Val". It matches the Rfam family "tRNA". Rfam says of the family: Transfer RNA (tRNA) molecules are approximately 80 nucleotides in length. Their secondary structure includes four short double-helical elements and three loops (D, anti-codon, and T loops). Further hydrogen bonds mediate the characteristic L-shaped molecular structure. tRNAs have two regions of fundamental functional importance: the anti-codon, which is responsible for specific mRNA codon recognition, and the 3' end, to which the tRNAs corresponding amino acid is attached (by aminoacyl-tRNA synthetases). tRNAs cope with the degeneracy of the genetic code in two manners: having more than one tRNA (with a specific anti-codon) for a particular amino acid; and 'wobble' base-pairing, i.e. permitting non-standard base-pairing at the 3rd anti-codon position. The record is from RNAcentral. Lineage: Bacteria; Bacillati; Bacillota; Clostridia; Eubacteriales. RNAcentral also lists the same sequence under 7 other names.